This 377-nucleotide unclassified non-coding RNA is filed under the name uncultured bacterium. RNAcentral's name for it is "contains 16S-23S intergenic spacer region". The record is from RNAcentral.
UCUCGGCUUAUCACCGGCAGUCCCCCUAGAGUGCCCAACUGAAUGAUGGCAACUAAGGGCGAGGGUUGCGCUCGUUGCGGGACUUAACCCAACAUCUCACGACACGAGCUGACGACAGCCAUGCACCACCUGUGCAAGUGCCCCGAAGGGAAGCCGUGUUUCCACGGCGGUCACCUGCAUGUCAAGCCCAGGUAAGGUUCUUCGCGUUGCGUCGAAUUAAACCACAUAAUCCACCGCUUGUGCGGGUCCCCGUCAAUUCCUUUGAGUUUUAACCUUGCGGCCGUACUCCCCAGGCGGUCGACUUCACGCGUUAGCUUCGACACUGAGCACCGAGUUGUGCCCAACGUCCAGUUCGCAUCGUUUAGGGCGUGGACUAC